UGGGGAAUUUUGGACAAUGGGCGAAAGCCUGAUCCAGCAAUGCCGCGUGUGUGAAGAAGGCCUUCGGGUUGUAAAGCACUUUUGUCCGGAAAGAAAUCCUUGGCUCUAAUACAGUCGGGGGAUGACGGUACCGGAAGAAUAAGCACCGGCUAACUACGUGCCAGCAGCCGCGGUAAUACGUAGGGUGCAAGCGUUAAUCGGAAUUACUGGGCGUAAAGCGUGCGCAGGCGGUUUGCUAAGACCGAUGUGAAAUCCCCGGGCUCAACCUGGGAACUGCAUUGGUGACUGGCAGGCUAGAGUAUGGCAGAGGGGGGUAGAAUUCCACGUGUAGCGGUGAAAUGCGUAGAGAUGUGGAGGAAUACCGAUGGCGAAGGCAGCCCCCUGGGCCAAUACUGACGCUCAUGCACGAAAGCGUGGGGAGCAAACAGGAUUAGAUACCCUGGUAGUCCACGCCCUAAACGAUGUCAACUAGUUGUUGGGGAUUCAUUCCUUAGUAACGUAGCUAACGCGUGAAGUUGACCGCCUGGGGAGUACGGUCGCAAGAUUAAAACUCAAAGGAAUUGACGGGGUCAUAGCUGUUUCCU
RNAcentral lists this ribosomal RNA (584 nucleotides) under uncultured bacterium. RNAcentral describes it as "partial 16S ribosomal RNA". It matches the Rfam family "Bacterial small subunit ribosomal RNA", at positions 355 to 1375 of the family's 1533-position model. The record is from RNAcentral.